UAUGACGCUUAACUGGUCUGAGAGGAUGAUCAGUCACACUGGAACUGAGACACGGUCCAGACUCCUACGGGAGGCAGCAGUAGGGAAUAUUGCGCAAUGGGGGAAACCCUGACGCAGCAACGCCGCGUGGAGGAUGACACUUUUCGGAGCGUAAACUCCUUUUCUUAGGGAAGAAUUCUGACGGUACCUAAGGAAUAAGCACCGGCUAACUCCGUGCCAGCAGCCGCGGUAAUACGGAGGGUGCAAGCGUUACUCGGAAUCACUGGGCGUAAAGGGCGCGUAGGCGGAUUAUCAAGUCUCUUGUGAAAUCUAAUGGCUUAACCAUUAAACUGCUUGGGAAACUGAUAGUCUAGAGUGAGGGAGAGGCAGAUGGAAUUGGUGGUGUAGGGGUAAAAUCCGUAGAUAUCACCAAGAAUACCCAUUGCGAAGGCGAUCUGCUGGAACUCAACUGACGCUAAGGCGCGAAAGCGUGGGGAGCAAACAGGAUUAGAUACCCUGGUAGUCCACGCCCUAAACGAUGUACACUAGUUGUUGGGGUGCUAGUCAUCUCAGUAAUGCAGCUAACGCAUUAAGUGUACCGCCUGGGGAGUACGGUCGCAAGAUUAAAACUCAAAGGAAUAGACGGGGACCCGCACAAGCGGUGGAGCAUGUGGUUUAAUUCGAAGAUACGCGAAGAACCUUACCUGGGCUUGAUAUCCUAAGAACCUUAUAGAGAUAUGAGGGUGCUAGCUUGCUAGAACUUAGAGACAGGUGCUGCACGGCUGUCGUCAGCUCGUGUCGUGAGAUGUUGGGUUAAGUCCCGCAACGAGCGCAACCCACGUAUUUAGUUGCUAACGGUUCGGCCGAGCACUCUAAAUAGACUGCCUUCGUAAGGAGGAGGAAGGUGUGGACGACGUCAAGUCAUCAUGGCCCUUAUGCCCAGGGCGACACACGUGCUACAAUGGCAUAUACAAUGAGACGCAAUACCGCGAGGUGGAGCAAAUCUAUAAAAUAUGUCCCAGUUCGGAUUGUUCUCUGCAACUCGAGAGCAUGAAGCCGGAAUCGCUAGUAAUCGUAGAUCAGCCAUGCUACGGUGAAUACGUUCCCGGGUCUUGUACUCACCGCCCGUCACACCAUGGGAGUUGAUUUCACUCGAAGCCGGAAUACUAAACUAGUUACCGUCCACAGUGGAAUCAGCGACUGGGGUGAAGUCGUAACAAGGUAACCGUAGGAGAACCUGCGGUUGGAUCACCUCCUUUCUA
RNAcentral lists this ribosomal RNA (1241 nucleotides) under Campylobacter jejuni. RNAcentral describes it as "bacterial SSU rRNA". It matches the Rfam family "Bacterial small subunit ribosomal RNA", at positions 275 to 1533 of the family's 1533-position model. The record is from RNAcentral. Lineage: Bacteria; Pseudomonadati; Campylobacterota; Epsilonproteobacteria; Campylobacterales; Campylobacteraceae.